This 440-nucleotide ribosomal RNA is filed under the name uncultured bacterium. RNAcentral describes it as "partial 16S ribosomal RNA". It matches the Rfam family "Bacterial small subunit ribosomal RNA", at positions 338 to 795 of the family's 1533-position model. The record is from RNAcentral.
CCUACGGGUGGCAGCAGUAGGGAAUAUUGCUCAAUGGGGGAAACCCUGAAGCAGCAACGCCGCGUGGAGGAUGAAGGUUUUCGGAUUGUAAACUCCUUUUUUUAGAGAAGAUAAUGACGGUAUCUAACGAAUAAGCACCGUCUAACUCCGUGCCAGCAGGCGCGGUAAUGCGGGGGGUGCAGGCGUUACUCGGAAUCAAUGGGCGUAAAGAGCGCGUAGGGGGGUUAGCAAGUCAGAUGGUAAAACCUAGGGGUUAACCAUAGAAUUGCAUUUUAAACUGUGAUUCUAGAGUACAGGAGAGGUAGGUGGAAUAAGUUAUGUAGGGGUAAAAUCCGUAGAGAUAAAGUAGAAUACUCAUAGCGAAGGCGACCUGCCAGAACAUAACUGACGCUGAUGCGCGAGAGCGUGGGGAGCAAACAGGAUUAGAUACCCCGGUAGUC